Molecule: long non-coding RNA, 253 nt
Filed under: Mytilus galloprovincialis (Mediterranean mussel)
Lineage: Eukaryota; Metazoa; Mollusca; Bivalvia; Mytilida; Mytilidae
Source: RNAcentral
GUGGUUGUAAACGCCAAUUUUCCAGCAAAAGACAAUUGUUUCCCCUAAACGAUAUGUAAGGCAAAGAUAAAGAAGCUAUUCAAAUUGAUGUUUCAGUUUCCCGUCUGCAUUUUUUAAAUAAAGAAUUGGUUACAAAUCAAAGUUAUCGUGCUUUAUCAUUAAUAGAUAUGGAUAACAAUAAAUAUGGAAUAAUGAAGUGGUGGGCUGUCAGUAUCAUUCACAGAAGGGACAUGUGUUCAGACGAUAAUCAGAG